GCAAAUUUAAUAAUAACUAUGAUACUCCUUGAGUGUAGCUUACUUGGCAAGCUUUGUACUCUAAUCCAGUUGCUCCACAUGCUAAACGCCUGGUUGGAUCCUUUUGGUAACGGGAUAUCAUGAGCUUGUCACUGGUUUUUUUGCCAUCCUUAUAGAGAUCACUUCUUCAAUUGCCAGCUUUAUAUGCGCCCCUACAUUUUUAUCCCACAAAACAGUAAAUCUCUUAUUUUUUUGCCAUUUUCGCUGAUGUGGUGUGAUAUAUGGGCAUUGCCAGCGUGGCAGCGAGCCCUGAGAACCUCUAUAGGGCAUGUCAAAUGACCCUUUUACCCCUGCUGCUUCUCACCUUCAACUCAUUGACAUAUGGGCCUCACAUGUCAGCUCCUUCUUCUACCUCCAGCCAUUACUAUGCAACAAAGGAAGAAAAAAUUUUUGGAACGAAACAAUGCAGACGUGACAGGUAGAGAUAAUGGGGAUAGGUUGCCCUUCCGGAGCGUAAAGGGGUUCGAAAUGUCAUACCAAAUCAGGUUGUCGUGCUUUGCCAUAUGAAUUCGCCUUCGCACAAUCCCUUCUGAUAAUCUGCAUAUCCCCAAAUAUUCCUUCUGAAUUAUCUGUCAUCUUAUAUGUCAGUACGCACUCAGUUCUCUGAAUUGCAGGUCCUUGAACGUGAUUGCAUCAUUGCCGUAGAUCGAGGUUAAGCUGAUGGCUGAUGACAGCAUUCAGCGAGCAUUGAUAGAGGAUCCUAUAAUGUGCUGAAAAGGAAGCCGUCAGAAGGAGCCAAACGGUUUCAACGAUGCGGGUCAACUCCCUCAGAUCCCACCGAUCAGAAACCUGCAGAAAAUAG
RNAcentral lists this long non-coding RNA (841 nucleotides) under Sorghum bicolor (sorghum). RNAcentral's name for it is "long non-coding RNA (SBIC_LNC018129)". The record is from RNAcentral. Lineage: Eukaryota; Viridiplantae; Streptophyta; Magnoliopsida; Poales; Poaceae.